This 789-nucleotide long non-coding RNA is filed under the name Nicotiana benthamiana. Its description in RNAcentral is "long non-coding RNA (NBEN_LNC006933)". Lineage: Eukaryota; Viridiplantae; Streptophyta; Magnoliopsida; Solanales; Solanaceae. The record is from RNAcentral.
GAAAGAGGGAAACCUUCUGUUUGCUUGCCAUUGCAAUAUUGAAAACCGCAGGAAAGAAAGCCCCGGCCUGGUAUUUUAUUUUGACCGGCAGAAGCUGAACCCGAACCAAACCCUAAGCAAAGAAGGGAUGUGCCUUAGUUCAGUCUCGAGGACGGGAUAAUAGGGGCGUAGCACCGAAUAUGUCGGAGUAGUCCCACCCAGUAGAUGGACAAGCCAGUAGUACCAAUCAAGGAAGCCUUGAACUCUAGAGCUUUCUUUCCUGAUGGGGACUAAGAAAAGGAGACGAAUAUAGCUAAACAGCUGCAGCAGAAUCUUAGUUCAGUCUCGAGGAAGGAAUAAUAGGGGCGUAGCACUGAAUAUGUCGGAGUAGUCUCACCCAGUAGAUGGACAAGCCAGUAGUACCAAUCAAGGAAGCCUUGAACUCUAGAGCUUUCUUUCCUGAUGGGGACUAAGAAAAGGAGACGAAUAUAGCUAAACAGCUGCAGCAGAAAGAACGAAAAGCCAAAAGUCAAGGUGCAUAGCGGUCUUUUCAAGAAUAGGGGAGUACAGAAUAAGGGGUUUGCAAGACAAAAGAGAAUCCGCUGGAACUACGGACAAGGAUAUUUUACUCAAUUCCCCUCUUACUAUUUUAAAAAGCGGAAGAAAAUGAAAUUCCACCAGUGUGUAUGUAAGACAACCUUAAUUCUCUAUGUUCAACGCUUUGGGCAAGCCAGAGCAAGACUUCUCUGUGGGAAUACCCAGCUAUCUCCUACUUUAAAUAGAGAAAAUCCCUGGAAUUCUCUGAUGCCG